This 293-nucleotide ribosomal RNA is filed under the name uncultured bacterium. Its description in RNAcentral is "partial 16S ribosomal RNA". It matches the Rfam family "Archaeal small subunit ribosomal RNA", at positions 455 to 747 of the family's 1478-position model. The record is from RNAcentral.
GUGCCAGCCGCCGCGGUAAUACCGGCAGCUCAAGUGAUGUCCCAUAUUAUUGGGCCUAAAGCGUCCGUAGCUGGCCGACCAAGUCUCCCGGGAAAUCCACCCGCCCAACGGGCGGCCGUCCGGCGGAACCUGUGUGGCUUGGGACCGGGAGGCCUGAGGGGUACGAUCGGGGUAGGAGUGAAAUCCCAUAAUCCCGCACGGACCACCGAUGGCGAAAGCACUUCGAGAAAACGGAUCCGACAGUGAGGGACGAAAGCCAGGGUCUCCAACCGGAUUAGAUACCCUUGUAGUCC